GCGCCCAUAGCUCAAUUGGAUAGAGCGUCUGCCUUCGAAGCAGAAGGUUCCAGGUUCGAGUCCUGGUGGGCGCA
This 74-nucleotide transfer RNA is filed under the name Candidatus Sungbacteria bacterium RIFCSPHIGHO2_01_FULL_54_26. Its description in RNAcentral is "tRNA-Arg". It matches the Rfam family "tRNA". From Rfam's summary of the family: Transfer RNA (tRNA) molecules are approximately 80 nucleotides in length. Their secondary structure includes four short double-helical elements and three loops (D, anti-codon, and T loops). RNAcentral also lists the same sequence under 3 other names. The record is from RNAcentral. Lineage: Bacteria; Candidatus Sungiibacteriota.